UGGARARRGUUGAUCCUGGCUCAGAUUGAACGCUGGCGGCAGGCCUAACACAUGCAAGUCGAACGGUAACARGAAGCAGCUUGCUGCUUYGCUGACGAGUGGCGGACGGGUGAGUAAUGUYUGGGAAACUGCCUGAUGGAGGGGGAUAACUACUGGAAACGGUGGCUAAUACCGCAUAACGUCGCAAGACCAAAGAGGGGGACCUUCGGGCCUCUUGCCAUCAGAUGUGCCCAGAUGGGAUUAGCUWGUUGGUGAGGUAACGGCUCACCAAGGCGACGAUCCCUAGCUGGUCUGAGAGGAUGACCAGCCACACUGGAACUGAGACACGGUCCAGACUCCUACSSSASSCMGCAGUGGGGAAUAUUGCACAAUGGGCGCAAGCCUGAUGCAGCCAUGCCGCGUGUAUGAAGAAGGCCUUCGGGUUGUAAAGUACUUUCAGCGGGGAGGAAGGUGUUGKGUUAAUAACCRCAGCAAU
Molecule: ribosomal RNA, 475 nt
Filed under: Salmonella enterica
Lineage: Bacteria; Pseudomonadati; Pseudomonadota; Gammaproteobacteria; Enterobacterales; Enterobacteriaceae
Description: partial 16S ribosomal RNA
Rfam family: Bacterial small subunit ribosomal RNA
Source: RNAcentral